CUCUGACCUGAAAGGCGAUGCCCUAAGGACUGUUGAAUUAUCACGAGCGAGGAGAGAGAAAGUGCUCUAUUGAUUUGAUAGAUAGAGGCGCUAGGGAAGAAAACUAGACUCUACUCUCUCGAGAGAUUGACUUGCGNNNUUUGAGUUCUCUGUAAGCCAUUGAAAGAAAGGUUGGUGAAUCCAUUGGAAGUUCCCUGAAC
RNAcentral lists this unclassified non-coding RNA (200 nucleotides) under Hevea brasiliensis (rubber tree). Lineage: Eukaryota; Viridiplantae; Streptophyta; Magnoliopsida; Malpighiales; Euphorbiaceae. The record is from RNAcentral.